UGGUUUUGAUUUGCUUUUAAAUCUUUUUUCGUCUCUCUCAUUGAGUCCAUCAGGUUCAAGAGUUCGUAACUGGUGCAUCCAAAAUCUCUCUCUUUUUUGUCUUCCUUGUGUAUCCCAAUUUUGAUUUUUCUCAAUGAUUUGAAAUGUGACGUUUUCAAAAUCAUGUCCUGCUCUUAAAAGGUGUCUUGUAAUUGGGCAGUUCCUUUCUUUUGUAUAAAAUGACCGAUGGUUAUUUAGUCGGAUGUUAAAUGGUGUUUCUGUUUCACCAACAUAUUGUAAUUUGCAAGUUCCACACGUUAGAACAUAAAUGCAAUUUUGCGUUUUGCAAUUUGAUGUUAUAAAUAUGUUGUAAUUUUUCUUUGUGACUGUGCUGAUGAACUGGGUUUCUAUAUUGGCGACUUUGCAGCACUUACAAUUGCCCCUUCCGCAUGGUUUAUAACCUCCGAUUGUUGAUAUCUCCCGUUUAGAUACUUUGGAUGAUACUAGAAUAUCUUUGAGGUUUUUUGGUCUGCGGUAAGCCAUAACGGGAG
Molecule: long non-coding RNA, 530 nt
Filed under: Mytilus galloprovincialis (Mediterranean mussel)
Lineage: Eukaryota; Metazoa; Mollusca; Bivalvia; Mytilida; Mytilidae
Source: RNAcentral